This 1726-nucleotide long non-coding RNA is filed under the name Olea europaea (common olive). Its description in RNAcentral is "long non-coding RNA (OEUR_LNC004030)". Lineage: Eukaryota; Viridiplantae; Streptophyta; Magnoliopsida; Lamiales; Oleaceae. The record is from RNAcentral.
UGAAAUGAACUAUUAAAACUAAAAUCCCCAAAGUCUGAUCCUUGUGAAAUGUCCAUGAAUGCUGGAAUGUCAUCAAAUGCCAUGUUGAAAUCCUCGGCCAAAAUUUGAGCAUCGUCGAAUAAUGUAUUUUCUUGAGGUUGGAAAUUAAAGAAGUCGUCUAGGAACGGAAUGUCCAUUGAUAAAUAGUCAUUAGUAUAGUCGGGUACCAUACCUGUCUCCCCUUCACACUCUUGAACCACCUGAACCGGACCGUGACUUGAAUCAGUUUCAUUAACCGUUUGGUUCCGGUCCGGUAUGCCGACAGGGGCACUCGGUUCAGCAUCUUUGCCCACUUCCUGACACGGUUCGGACGCUGAUUGUUGAUCGGUGUCAUUUUCACUCGACUGGCUGGUCCUGUACCGGAGAACAGAAGUCGGAGAUAAAAGAUUUCGAGACUCAUCGCCGGACUCGUAGCCGGAAACUGAAGUAUCGAUCGUCUCCGGCAUAUCCUUGGUCGGAGGCGUUACGAAGUUAGUUAAAGCAUCCGGCCCGCGGAGUUUUAUAGCAGCGUUGUCAUAAACCAUAGCAGCCUCUUCCGCGGUGUCGUAAGUACCCAACCAGAGCCUGACUCUACGGCUGGGGUCUCUUUUCACUCACUCCGUCAAAAAAUUUCUUCUACACCCACCCCCACGAGCCGACAACCUUGCCACUUCUCAUAUGCCAGUUUCUUAUACAUAUUAACAAAUAUGAGCUUAAGGCAGAAAAUUACCCCUCUUGUAUCAUUUAUAGUCCAUCCUCACAAUUAAUGAAAACAACAAAUGAAGCAAUGUCGUUUGCCCAUGUAAAUUAAUAGAAGCCGUUCUCUCACAUUUUUCAACCUUAAAUACCACGGUCCAUAAUUGUUUUGAAACGUUGAAUUAUUGUCCUUCACGCUUUAUUUUCGGCACAACAUCCAUCAAUUUAAACGGUUCAAUGUCCAAUGCGUACCACGAAGAUUUAAAAGGAAAAAUUGAAGACAUUUCUUUAACUUAUUUCACACUACGAACUUCGAGUCAUCGACUCAGUCAACACGACAACCGCAAAUUGCUCCUACUCUUGUGGGACAAAAAGAAUGCCACUUUGCAUCUACAACAUCCAUCUAAAAUUUAAAAAUACUAAACAAAUUAAAUAAACAUUAUCUCGAAAAUACAAAUUUAUUUUAUUACCAGAAAGGCUAUAUAUAAACUAAAUAAAGAACUUUGCUAAAAUUCCAUUUACUAUUAUGGAAUGGAGAUACGAGACGCUGAAUAUACUAAAAAUAUUUAAUGGGAAAUACAAAUCAAGCCAGUGGACAAAAUUUGCCAUCAAGAUUGACAAACCGGCGAUGUUUAGCUCUGGAUUUUUGUUAUGUCAUAUUGCUAGAAGUGUGUCUGCACUAGCAAAGUCGGCCAUGUCAACGAAAUAGUCAUCAACUUCUAUUGAAUUGAGAUCUUGAAAUGAACUAUUAAAACUAAAAUCCCCAAAGUCUGAUCCUUGUGAAAUGUCCAUGAAUGCUGGAAUGUCAUCAAAUGCCAUGUUGAAAUCCUCGGCCAAAAUUUGAGCAUCGUCGAAUAAUGUAUUUUCUUGAGGUUGGAAAUUAAAGAAGUCGUCUAGGAACGGAAUGUCCAUUGAUAAAUAGUCAUUAGUAUAGUCGGGUACCAUACCUGUCUCCCCUUCACACUCUUGAACCACCUGAACCGGACCGUGACUUGAAUCAGUUUCAUUAACC